Long non-coding RNA from Drosophila yakuba, 562 nucleotides. RefSeq lists it as uncharacterized. The transcript is spliced from 2 exons. The record is from RefSeq and is a predicted model, not a curated record. NCBI's taxonomy places the organism in Eukaryota, Metazoa, Arthropoda, Insecta, Diptera, Drosophilidae.
GGCAGGCAGGCAAAUCAAACUACAUCACAUAUCAAGUGCUGUUGUUGUCACUGGGUUUUAUUUAUGGCCAAGCGCGCUACUGUUUCGAAUCCCUAUCCCAAACAAAAAAUUGUCACUUGGCCAGUGAUCGCAUCAUCGCAACGAGAAAAAACGAGAAGGAAAAAGAUGGCUGAUUGGUUGCGACUUCGCCGGCGUUUUGGUUAACCGCACUGAAAAUCGAAACUGAAUGUAGACCGAGCAACAACUGAUUUCAAACUCUAGAAAGAUGGAAAAGGACUCGGAUCUCGGAUCUCGAGUGGCAUCUCCGAUUACGGGACAGGACUCCAGGACAUCGCGGCCCGUCAGGAUACUUUCAAGUAGGCUCAAGUGCUCAUUGCACUUGUCCUGGAAUUUCAAUUAACUAUUUUCCCAAAAGAAGUGCCGACGCUUCGAAGGGGGUAAAGUCGCGUUAGGUUCCCAGGCUCAAAAAAAAAAAAAAAACCCAGAUGCCGAACUCUAUGUAAAAUCAACUCCUAAAAUAAGGUAUAAAUCAUUUCAAUAUAAACGAUUUAAAGUACUUGAA